UCCCUGAUGGUCCAGCGGUUAAGACUCUGAACUUCCACGGCAGAGAGCAUGGGUUCAAUCCCUCGUCAGGGAA
Ovis aries (sheep) is the source of this 73-nucleotide transfer RNA. It matches the Rfam family "tRNA". Rfam says of the family: Transfer RNA (tRNA) molecules are approximately 80 nucleotides in length. Their secondary structure includes four short double-helical elements and three loops (D, anti-codon, and T loops). NCBI's taxonomy places the organism in Eukaryota, Metazoa, Chordata, Mammalia, Artiodactyla, Bovidae. The record is from Rfam.